Molecule: long non-coding RNA, 2608 nt
Filed under: Homo sapiens (human)
Lineage: Eukaryota; Metazoa; Chordata; Mammalia; Primates; Hominidae
Description: HSALNT0145092
Source: RNAcentral
GUGUGGUAGAGGGGAGAACAGACCAGAGCUGACCGGGAGCCAUGGUGGGGGACAGAGGGCUGCGCUGGGGCCAGUGAGGCCUCACAGCUCCUGUGCGGGUUGCCUGAGGCUCCAGGAACCUCUGCUGAGGAGGGGCUGGUGCAGCCCAGCUGGGUAGCAGCUAUCGGACAGCUGGGAGCAUGGCUUCGACGCCGGGCUGCCUCUGCCAUCAACAAGACCUGGGGUCCGGGCAAGUCCCUUCUCCACUCCAGACCUCGGUUUCCUCAUCUGUAGAUGCAGGGUGGUUAGACGGGUGCUCUGGGACCCUGCUGCCGGCAGAUCACCCAGAGCAGGCUGCUUCGGUCUCAAUGCUAUUGACAUUUGGAGCCAGAUCCUUCCUUGCAUAGGGGCUGUCCUGCGCCCUGUGAGAUGCUGAGCUGCACACCUGGCCUCCCCCAACGAGAUGCCAGGGCCCCUUCCCUCCAGCUGCACAAUCACAAAUGCCUCCAGACAUUGCCACACGUCCAGAGGGGCAGAACCACCCUGGUGGAGACCCCAGCCCUAAAGAUGCUCUUGAUCUUGACCUAGGGCCCAAGGAUGGGUCUCAGGGUCCUUGAGCCCCCUGGAUCUAUAUACAAAACAGUGUGCACAUAUGUGCACUUUUCCGGGGAGAAAGCCACAGAGGUUACAGGAUCUAAAAGGAAUGUGUGCACCCCAAGUUAGAAUCCCCAUGGCUGCUCUGCUUGCGGGAUGCAGCCCACGAGGAGAGCCCCCACCGUCCUUGCACAGAGCAGUCGGCCAAGGUCUUUGUCUCCCGGCACCAGGCUGAGCUCUGCCUCUGGGCUGGGUUGCAUUUCCUGACCCCAGAGAUCUCUGUCUUCUCACUGCCUCUCCUAUCCCUCAUUCUCAUUAGAAAAUCUCUUCCAUAAAUUGCCCCUUUAUCUGAAGUAUUCCUAUCGGGUUUCUAAACCCCGCUGAUGGAACAGGGCUAUUACAUAUGCGAUCGCCUGCAUUUAUUUACAUAUCAGCAGCAAAAGGGGCCCUGAUUUUUCAUCUGGGUGACACAGCUGCACUUGUAAAAAGGGCGUCUAUUAGAAAGGCCAUUGCUUGGUACAAGCUGCAGAGUCUAAUUGGCUUCUCAGGGACUUUUUUUUAUUAUUGUUAUUUGCUCGGGGAACUGUUCAUUUGAGCAAACGAUAUUAAAUGACUAUUGUCUCAGUCUUUUAAGGAAUUACCAGCUGAAAAACAAUGCAGAGAUGUCAGCCAUGGAGUGACAAAGGCUUCUGGCAACACGUGUGCCCGUGGACCCAGGCCUGUCACAUUUCCGAUCAAUAAUAAGCUGGUUUCAAUAGUGAUGUGAUCUAACUCCAGUUCCACAGAACCUACAAUUAACUGGAAUAGAUUUUCCUUCCCCUUUUACAACUACUACAAGAAAACAGUCAAAUUACAUGCAAAUACAGUGCUCUUAGGAAUGUCUGUUUAAAUUGUGUAAGAUUUGAGCAUCUAUUGAAUGAAAGGAACAACCAGUAUUUGGGGGAAGGAUGGAGCAGGGGAAGGCCCUCCAACCCCAUCUGAGGCUCUGAGGAGCUCUGGGGCCUGCUGGACACCGGCUCUUCCAGUUGGUUUCUGGUUCCCUGCAGUGGGGCUCCCCAGGACCCCUUCCAGCCCUACUGAAGCAGAAUGUCUGAAAGCGAGGCCUGCAGGGCUGAAGAGUUAAAAUUCUGAUGCACCCAAAUGCUCUGCACUUCAGUGUUUAUGCCUGUAAAGUAGAAGUGACAGUGUUUCCCUCCAAUGUUUGCUGUGUGGGUUCCAGAGUUCACGUCUGCAGUGGGUUCCAGCCCAGGUUGGUGCAUGGUGAGGCCUCAUGUUUGCUGUGUGGGUUCCAGAGUUCACGGCUGCAGUGGGUUCCAGCCCAGGUUGGUGCACGGUGAGGUCUCAUGUUUGCAGUGCGGGUUCCAGAGCUCAUGGCUGCGGUGGGUUCUGGCCCAGUUUGGUGCAUGCCGAGGCCCCGUGUUUGCUGUUUUUUUCUAGUGUCACCACUGGCCACAGCCACACUAGACCUCAGGCAAGCUCGGGCACAUACAGGGGCUCAGAGAGUAUUUGCACACACAGUAAACACUGGGGCAGGUCGCUGGUCCUCCACAGGCCAGUUUUGCCAUCCGGGGACACCGGGAAGUGUCUGCAGAGGCUUUGGGUGGUGGCGUCGGAGGUGGGUGGUGCAGGUCUCUCACGGGUGGAGGCCGAGGAUGCUGCUCAGCUGCCUGCAGUGCAUGGGGUGGCCACAGCAGGGAGAAUGAUCCGUCCCAAAUGUCAGUGGUGCUGAGGCUGAAAAACCCUGGGAUAAGAGGGAGCAGAUAAUAAGAUGGAAAACAGGAGGGCAUACUGGGGGUUGGGAAGCAAGAGAGAAUGUGAGGACCCUUGAUUCAAAGGAUGCUGUUGGAGAGCAGGCCUGGCGCCUUCGCUGCCCCACGUGGUGUGCUGGUCUCAUCCACAUCCAGGCGACGAAGCCCUGCAAGGCUGAGUGCUUUCCCCUAUCAGUUCCCUGACUCCCUGGGACCUUACCCUGGAUUUGAGACCUGGGCACUUUUGGGAUCUGAGAGGGUGAAGGCUCAGCCAGGCUCACCUGGUG